Molecule: ribosomal RNA, 550 nt
Filed under: uncultured bacterium
Lineage: Bacteria
Description: bacterial SSU rRNA
Rfam family: Bacterial small subunit ribosomal RNA
Source: RNAcentral
UAGGGAAUCUUCGGCAAUGGGGGCAACCCUGACCGAGCAACGCCGCGUGAGUGAAGAAGGUUUUCGGAUCGUAAAGCUCUGUUGUAAGUCAAGAACGAGUGUGAGAGUGGAAAGUUCACACUGUGACGGUAGCUUACCAGAAAGGGACGGUUAACUACGUGCCAGCAGCCGCGGUAAUACGUAGGUCCCGAGCGUUGUCCGGAUUUAUUGGGCGUAAAACGAGCGCAGGCGGUUUGAUAAGUCUGAAGUUAAAGGCUGUGGCUCAACCAUAGUUCGCUUUGGAAACUGUCAAACUUGAGUGCAGAAGGGGAGAGUGGAAUUCCAUGUGUAGCGGUGAAAUGCGUAGAUAUAUGGAGGAACACCGGUGGCGAAAGCGGCUCUCUGGUCUGUAACUGACGCUGAGGCUCGAAAGCGUGGGGAGCGAACAGGAUUAGAUACCCUGGUAGUCCACGCCGUAAACGAUGAGUGCUAGGUGUUGGAUCCUUUCCGGGAUUCAGUGCCGUAGCUAACGCAUUAAGCACUCCGCCUGGGGAGUACGACCGCAAGGUUG